AUUGAACGCUGGCGGCAUGCUUUACACAUGCAAGUCGAACGGUAACAGGCCUUCGGGUGCUGACGAGUGGCGAACGGGUGAGUAAUGCAUCGGAACGUACCCAGAGGUGGGGGAUAACGCAGCGAAAGCUGUGCUAAUACCGCAUGUGAUCUGAGGAUGAAAGCGGGGGACCGAGCAGCAAUGUUUGGCCUCGCGCCUUUGGAGCGGCCGAUGUCGGAUUAACUAGUUGGUGGGGUAAAGGCCUACCAAGGCGACGAUCCGUAGCUGGUCUGAGAGGACGACCAGCCACACUGGGACUGAGACACGGCCCAGACUCCUACGGGAGGCAGCAGUGGGGAAUUUUGGACAAUGGGCGCAAGCCUGAUCCAGCAAUGCCGCGUGCGGGAAGAAGGCCUUCGGGUUGUAAACCGCUUUUGGCAGGAACGAAACGGUGUCCGCUAAUACCGGGCGCUAAUGACGGUACCUGCAGAAUAAGCACCGGCUAACUACGUG
This 492-nucleotide ribosomal RNA is filed under the name uncultured bacterium. Its description in RNAcentral is "partial 16S ribosomal RNA". It matches the Rfam family "Bacterial small subunit ribosomal RNA", at positions 29 to 507 of the family's 1533-position model. The record is from RNAcentral.